UACGUAGGGUGCAAGCGUUGUCCGGAAUUAUUGGGCGUAAAGAGCUCGUAGGCGGUCUGUCGCGUCUGCUGUGAAAACCUAGGGCUUAACUCUGGGCGUGCAGUGGGUACGGGCAGGCUAGAGUGCGGUAGGGGAGAUUGGAAUUCCUGGUGUAGCGGUGGAAUGCGCAGAUAUCAGGAGGAACACCAAUGGCGAAGGCAGAUCUCUGGGCCGUAACUGACGCUGAGGAGCGAAAGCAUGGGGAGCGAACAGG
RNAcentral lists this ribosomal RNA (253 nucleotides) under uncultured bacterium. Its description in RNAcentral is "partial 16S ribosomal RNA". It matches the Rfam family "Bacterial small subunit ribosomal RNA", at positions 524 to 776 of the family's 1533-position model. The record is from RNAcentral.